Molecule: long non-coding RNA, 1746 nt
Filed under: Homo sapiens (human)
Lineage: Eukaryota; Metazoa; Chordata; Mammalia; Primates; Hominidae
Description: HSALNT0205092
Source: RNAcentral
AAAUAACCUAGUGCAAAAAUGAUUUAAACGUAAGUAAAGGAAAAUUAGUCUGUUGGAUCAUGGGUAGUAAAGUUUCAUCAUAUAAAGAAGACUCAGAGAGACUAGUGUCAUGGCAACAAAGAAAAGCAUUUCAUAAGAGAAUGUUAUUAUCAAAAUUCUAAGUGAUCGAAGCAAAUAAAGAAUGAAAUGUGAACUUUGGAUAUAAACUUUGGAGAUUAGCUGGGUUGUACAUAUAGCACUGAGAGCAGAAAAGAAUUGGAAUUUAGAGAGUCACAUUUUUUUUUUCUAUAUGUCAGGCAUGAUCAAAAGAAGUGGGGCAUUACCUAGAAAGGAUUAAGAGUAAAUGAUAAUAUUUAUUCUUGAUGAUGUUGCUGUUGUUGCCUGGGUUGUUAAAUAUGAAAGACACUUUGGCAUAAGGCCUCUACAUUGUAAGUUCUUUAUAAAUGUUAUUGAAUUGAUGUUUACAACCUCACAGGCAGCUACAGGACAGGGCAUUUUGAAAUAUUUCAAUGGAGAAAUGAGAAAUGGUGAGAGGUGAAGCCAGCUGGACUUCCUGGGUCGAGUGGGGACUUCCAGACUUUUCUGUCUAGCUAGAGGAUUGUAAAUGCAGCAGUCAGCACUCUGUAAAAACACACCAAUCAGUGCUCUGUGUCUAGCUAAAGGAUUGUAAACUCAACAAUCAGCACUCUGUAAAAUGAACCAAUCAGCACUCUGUGAAAUGGACCAAUCAGCACUCUGUAAAAUGGACCAAUCAGCAGGAUGUGGGCAGGGCCAAAUAAGGGAAUAAAAGCUGGCCACCAGAGCCAGGAGUGGCAACCCACUCCGGUCCCCUUCCACGCUGUGGAAGCUUUGUUCUUUCACUCUUCACAGUACAUUUUGCUCCCUCUUUGGAUCUGUACUACCUUUAUGAGCUGUAACACUCACUGUGAAGGUAUGCAGCUUCACUCCUGAAGUCAGACCACGAACCCACCCAGGGGGGGAACAAACAACUUCAGACAUGCCACCUUUAAGAGCUGUAACACUCACUGUGAAGGUCUGUGGUUUCAUUCCUGAAGUCAGCAAGACCAUGAACACACCCAAAGGAAGGAACUCUGGACACAUCUGAACGUCUGAAGGAACAAACUCCAGACACACCAUCUCUAAGAACUGUAACACUCACCACGAGGAUCCACAGCUUCAUUCUUGAAGUCAGCGAGACAAAGAACCCACCGGAAGGAACCAAUUCUGGGCACAAUGGUACAGAAAAUUCCUAGAAUAGCAAGAAAAGAAUUCAUUGAGAUAACAUCAAAAGUUGAGGGAAAUGCAAGUAGUUUGAGAGGAAUGUAAUACAUCUAUCAUGAGGGUUAUAGAUAGAAUUCCAAGAGUAAUACCAUGUAAAAUAAGGGGGUAUAUAUCUGUCAUAAGAGGUUUUAAUUUUGGAAGAGAUUUGUAGAACAAAAUGAGGCAAAGUCCAGAGGAAACUUGUUUUCUUAAUUUGUUUGGAUGGAAGUGAAUUAAAUACUUUUUGUUUGUUUAAGGGGACGUACCCAGGAGAAUAGGAAACUUACAAAAUUGUUGGAAAUGUGAUUCUAGUGCCCAUUAUGUCACACUCUUGUGUUGUUUCUCUGAGAGUUGCACUAAGAAAGUUCAAAUACCUGUUGGCUUCCAUAGACUAAAUUCGGGCUGAUAACGAGAAAGGUUCCUGACCAAGGGGAGUAAAGGAGAUGGAAUGAAGCUUGUGUGCUGUACUUCAAGUCAUGCAUCCAG